RNAcentral lists this long non-coding RNA (2237 nucleotides) under Junco hyemalis (dark-eyed junco). RNAcentral's name for it is "lncRNA (ENSJHYG00000001938.1)". The record is from RNAcentral. Lineage: Eukaryota; Metazoa; Chordata; Aves; Passeriformes; Passerellidae.
CAAAAAAUGCAGCCCAUGAGGCUUCCACCUGCCCAUCCUCAGGGAAACGGCAGCAGCCACUGAUGGGAAGAGGCCUCCAAAUUCAGGGAUGGUUAUUUUUGCUUUGAUGCUUUUUUGUGCCUUUGUUGGCAUAUUCUGAUAAACAGGCAUGAUCCCAAAAUAAAACUAAUUCAGGCUGACAGAUGCUGUCACACAUUCAGUGUGAAUGGAGUUCACUGAGAUUUUGCAGUUUUAAGUUACCUAAUACUGAAAAACAACUGCUAAAAUAUUAUCAGCAACUUCUUUCAGUGAUUAAAAGCCAAAAUUGAAUUUAACAGCUCAACAAAGCUUUGUAAUAAAAUACCAAUAAGAAAAAAAUCUUUAAAAUUAUUUUUAAAGAAAUCAUAAAAACGUUAACUGGACUUAAUUUUUCUGCUUGAAUUCCUGCCAAAAUAAUUCAAUUUUUUGUCAUUUCCUUUUUUUUUUCUGAGCACUUUUUGAUUCAGACAACUGUGGAAUUUCCUGUUUUGUUUUUGUUUUGCUACUGCAACUAAAGCAGCCAACAGCCAAGGUCAUUGUAGAAAAGCAGACUUUCAGUAAAAUUUGAACAAAUGCCUUCCCUCCCCUUGUUUGCAGCUUCUGUUCUCUGACCAAUUUCCUUUGGUGGUGAUUUAGUUUUUCCAGAGUCUGCAUGUUCACUCAUCUUCAUGUUUCUUCUUGCCCGCAGCGAGCCCCGUUGCCCUGUGCAGUGCCUGUUCAGUGGGGGAUGUGGGGUUUUAUUUAUCUGCUGUCCUUAUGAGAAGAGAUUUGUCCCUGCUCUGCAUAAAUGUGCUUCUGCUUGUUCCUUGGAUUCCAGGUGUUUGAAGAUGCUUGUAAAUCAUCCCAGCAGAAAGGCUGAGCAUCACAGUCUUCAGAGCAUUCUCAUGGCCAGAAUAUUCCCCUGCAGCUCUGGGGAAGAGGGAGCUUGGGAAGGAAUCCUAACGCAGAGACAAGAAGUGAAGAGCUACAGUCCAGCCUCAGCUGAGGGUGCAGAGAGCCCUGAGCGUGAGACUUGCUGCAGAUCUGGAGGCAGAUGGAUGUGUUCCAUCUCCACCCAGCUGGGGCUGCCUCAGGAUGGAGCCAGCCCUGCUCUUGGCAUGGGGAAACACAGAGGGGAUUUCAUUAGCAUUAAUGGACUGGCCAAGGAAGAGCUCUGCAUGCUGACAAGAUAAUGCACAGCUUUAAUAUAGCAAAUUCCUGCUGCUGCUGGGGGCUGCCCAGCUACAACAUUCAGUUUCACUGGUUAAAAUGAGCCCUGAGGAAGGUGUGGGUGAGAUGCUGUUCCCUGUUUCCAUCAAAGCACCCACUUCUCUGACAAGGACCAGACUUCCCACCUCCCUUUUUCAAAUGAUUGCUCAGACUCCUGAUGCUGAGCAGAAAACAUUUAAGCUGUUUUUUCAAAAUGAACAUUUAUAGGUGGUGUCUUUCCCCUUCCCCAGAGCAGAGUGUUAAUGACAUUGGAGGACUCAAGAACCUGUCUGGAAGGGAUUCUGGAUGGAGAAGAGGUGCAAACCCAGAGCAGCCAGAUGUUCUUCUAAAAUGGAAGAGUUAAAAAACCAAGCUCCAAAGGACAAAGAAAGGGAAAAAAGGAGAAAUUUAGAUUGUGGAAAAUGAGAAGCUGCUUAUCAGGGGAAAUAUGGAUGUGUGAUGCCAGGGUGGGGCAAUUUUCUCUCCAGUUCCUGUGCUUCCUCUGAGGUGGUUUGACUUUAGAAAUACAUAAAAGAAAGGUGACUUCUUGUUUGUUUCCUGUAUUGGAAAAGAUGGAAUGGGAAGAGGGGGCAGAUUUUGCACCACUAAUGUUGCAGGAGUAGAGGCAUUCCCUUACUGUUUGUUGAUAUUGAAAACAGCCUGAAAUGGCUUUUUGCCUUUUUCCUGGGAAAAAUAACAGGAAUAUCAAAGGAUUAUAUAAGUUAGGAAAGAAGCAAGCAGCCUCAACGUGAAUUUUGUGUUUGCUGUGGUGUGAAGAGAAACACUGUGUUGGAGGUGGCAGUGAAGAUGAUUUCUGGGGAUGCAGGUAAGAUAUCCCAAUGCUUCCAUGCUCUCCAGGGAUGGCAGUCUGCAGGUCACAAUCCUGCUCUGGGGCCAGGGGAAUGGAUAGAGGGAAAAACCCCAAUCUCUAACAGGUCAGAUCCUGAGAACUGAGUGGUAAUUCCUGCCAAGUCACUGGUAGGGAUCUCCCUGGGAAUAAAUGCUUGGAAAUUGCUGUUCGGUGCUUUCCU